RNAcentral lists this long non-coding RNA (264 nucleotides) under Salvia miltiorrhiza (redroot sage). RNAcentral describes it as "long non-coding RNA (SMIL_LNC001208)". Lineage: Eukaryota; Viridiplantae; Streptophyta; Magnoliopsida; Lamiales; Lamiaceae. The record is from RNAcentral.
UCCAUGCCUGUUAAAUAAUACAAAUUAGAGACAUAUAUAAGCAUAAAAUAAAUUUCUUUACAAAAAAAAAAAAAAUUUACCUAACAGAAAGAAGCCUAUUGUUAACUUCAUUGUCAGUGUCAAAAAUGUACAGCUGAGCAAACUUUGGAGCCAUUCCAUCGGACGGUAUCAAACUACCUAUCAAAUGAUAGUUCUGACCAUUGAGACGAAAAACAGGAGCACCUUUACCCAAAUUCAAACUGUGAUCGAUCCUACCACCCAUCG